RNAcentral lists this ribosomal RNA (857 nucleotides) under uncultured Neocallimastigales. Its description in RNAcentral is "partial large subunit ribosomal RNA". It matches the Rfam family "Eukaryotic large subunit ribosomal RNA", at positions 1 to 639 of the family's 3401-position model. Lineage: Eukaryota; Fungi; Neocallimastigomycota; Neocallimastigomycetes; Neocallimastigales. The record is from RNAcentral.
GUACACGCUGUGACUAGCAUAUCAAUAAGCGGAGGAAAAGGUACUACCUACGCUUAGGAUGUUGACACCCGUGCUCGACUCUAUACAUGACUCUGUGCAUAUCAAUAAGCGGAGGAAAAGAAACUAACAAGGAUUCCCCUAGUAACGGCGAGUGAAGCGGGAAGAGCUCAAAUUUGAAAUCUUAAAGGGUUUCCCUUUACGAAUUGUAGUUUAAAGAAGUGUUUUCUGUUGAGGUUUUGGUAAAAGUUCUUUGGAAUAGGACAUCAUAGAGGGUGAGAAUCCCGUAUUUGACCUUUACUUUCAACUUUGUGAUACACUUUCAAAGGAGUCGGAUUGUUUGGGAAUGCAGUCCAAAAUGGGUGGUAAAUUUCAUCUAAAGCUAAAUAUUGGCGAGAGACCGAUAGCGAACAAGUACCGUGAGGGAAAGAUGAAAAGAACUUUGAAAAGAGAGUUAAACAGUACGUGAAAUUGUCAAAAGGGAAGCGUUUGACACCAGUGUUGUUUUUCUGAAAAUCAAUUAAAGAACUGUCUUAUGCUAAGCUUGUUUAGACUUUAUCAGCUAUCUGUUUAGUUUUGAGCUUUUCUUUAAUGCACUUUUCAGUUAACAAGUCAACAUCAAUUUCUUUUGCUGUAAAAAAGCUUGAGGAAGGUGGCUUGAGAUUCGUCUUAAGUGUUUAUAGCCUCUUGCCUAUGCAGUCGGAGAGAUUGAGGUCUGCAGCGUAGAUCCUUCGGGGCUAAAUGCAUUUGUGCUAAGUUAUAGCAUUUUAUAGACAACUUGUUGACUAUGAUUUGUCUUGUAGCUUACUCGCUUAUGUUAUUUUACCUACGCUUAGGAUGUUGAAGAUGUAGCACAUCAU